Molecule: long non-coding RNA, 1814 nt
Filed under: Homo sapiens (human)
Lineage: Eukaryota; Metazoa; Chordata; Mammalia; Primates; Hominidae
Description: HSALNT0285821
Source: RNAcentral
AUGCAAUAUUUCUGGAUCAUAAUCCACCUCAGGGAAGGACAGAUUUGGUUAUGGAGACCUCGGAAGUCCAAGUCUCUAUGCUAAAUAGACAGCAGAAGAACCAAUUUAACAGCUUUCAAUAUUUCUGUCUGACUCCCUGUUGGAAUUGCAGUUUUGAUGUGUGUUACCGGACGAGGGUGUCCAGGUUCCUGGCGUUUUGAACAAAGAAUUGGACAAAACACAGAAACAAAGCAAUGAAGCAAUGAAGCCACAAAAGCAGAGAUGUAUUGAAAACGAAAAGUACACUCCACAGGGUGGGAGCAGACCCGAGCAGCCACUGAAGGGCCCAGUUACAGAAUCUUCGCGGGUCCAAGUACCCCCUAGAGGUUUUCCAUUGGCCACUUGGUGUUCACCUUAUGUAAAUGAAGUGGUGGCUUGCAAUCAGUCUGAUUGCAGAGAGCAACCAGUCAGAGGCUGAGUGAAGUUACAAAGUUACACUCCCAUGCAAACGUCUGAUUGGUUGCAAAAAGCAACCAAUCAGAGAUACUUUUAAUUUCCCAUCUGCCAAUGCAGAAAAAUGGGGGUUUGCAAAGGGAGUAGCCACUUGUCCUUUUGUCCUUUUGUUACUUAGGCAUGGAAAGUUAGGGUUUUCCUUUCAAUUUCGUUUUAGGAAGUCAGCGUGAAAUGGCCUUGGGUUCCCUGCCUCCAGACCUUAUUAUUCUGCCUCAGUUGCACUCAGGGUCCCUGUCCCAUAGUUCUGUGCUGAUAUCUGAGAUAUCAAGUGUGAUAUUGACUGAGGCAAACGACAAAUUACCAAUUCCAAAACGAAUACUAAUUGCAUAAUAACAGUUUCCAAGCUGUUAGUCUGCUUUCCUAAAAAAGCUAAUUUAACACAAGCACAGAACUGGCUCUUGCCCAUGGGUUAUAUUUUCGGUUGGCAGAUUUUGCUUUGCAAAAAGAUUGGGGGAAAUGAGGACUGUUGUAGAAGAAGCAUACUUGGCCUUUUGUGAAGAGGGUACAAAUUGCAUCAACCUCUCAAGGCCUGAAAGUGUGAACACAAGGACACUUAAUACCUUCAAGAGAGGUCGAUUACCUUUCCCAGAGGUAAAAUGACCUAGUGCUUUGGCUUGAGUGGGAUCCUUGAAUUUUCAGCCCUUCGAAGGAGAGUUUUGUGCAGGAUGGAGGUGCUUGAGUGCUGAGGAACUGAACCUGGGUUGGUACGCAUUGUCCAUAGGAUUCAGGGCCCAGGGGAGGGCAUGGUCACUAAAUGGCUGAUCCUCUCUGGAAUGAAACUUUAGAAAGCAAAACGCAAAAUUUUUUGAUUACUAUAGAAUGCUGAAGUUACUGGACUCCUCCUGAGAUUAUGUUCAUAACUUUUUAGCUGAAACUAACAUCUACAAAGACCAUCUAUCUUGGAUGAACCUAUUUUCUGGUAACCAGUGUUAAAUAUUUUUUAAUCAAAAAUUUAAAACUUGCAUUAGAAUAAUUUCUGAUUUUCACCUUUUUAAAUAGAAUUUUUUAAAAUAUAUUUUUUAAAGAUGAGGUCUCACUACAUUGCCCUGGCUGGUCUGGAACUUGUGCACUCAAGCAGUCCUCCCACCUCAGCCUCCCAAAGUGCUGGGAUUACAUGUGUGAGCCACAGUGCCCAGUUUGAUUUUUGCCUCUGAAAUAUUUGAAGUAUAUUUUAAAAUACAUGCUUUUUGUGGGAUUACAUUUAGAAGACUUCUCUUUUUUGAAACUUAGAAAGAGUGGAAAUUAUUAUCCGCAGCAGUGUUUUUGAAUAUUACCUUUGCCUCAUGCCUUAAUUCUUGUGGAACCUGGAAGAAGUAGAGAUG